GCAGAAUGCUACAGCGUGAUAGAUAGGCAGAAUGCUACAGCGUGAUAGAUAGGCAGAAUGCUACAGCGUGAUAGACAGGCAGAAUGCUACAGCGUGAUAGAUAGAAUGCUACAGCGUGAUAGACAGGCAGAAUGCUACAGCGUGAUAGAUAGGCAGAAUGCUACAGCGUGAUAGAUAGACAGGCAGAAUGCUACAGCGUGAUAGACAGGCAGAAUGCUACAGCGUGAUAGACAGGCAGAAUGCUACAGCGUGGUAGACAGGCAGAAUGCUACAGCGUGGUAGAUAGAAUGCUACAGCGUGAUAGACAGGCAGAAUGCUACAGCGUGAUAGACAGGCAGAAUGCUACAGCGUGAUAGACAGGCAGAAUGCUACAGUGUGGUAGACAGGCAGAAUGCUACAGCGUGGUAGACAGGCAGAAUGCUACAGCGUGAUAGAUAGACAGGCAGAAUGCUACAGCGUGAUAGAUAGACAGGCAGAAUGCUACAGCGUGAUAGAUAGGCAGAAUGUUACAGCAUGAUAGGCAGAAUGCUACAGCGUGAUAGAUAGACAGGCAGAAUGCUACAGCGUGAUAGACAGGCAGAAUGCUACAGCGUGAUAGACAGGCAGAAUGCUACAGCGUGAUAGACAGGCAGAAUGCUACAGCGUGGUAGAUAGAAUGCUACAGCGUGAUAGACAGGCAGAAUGCUACAGCGUGAUAGACAGGCAGAAUGCUACAGCGUGAUAGACAGGCAGAAUGCUACAGCAUGAUAGACAGGCAGAAUGCUACAGCGUGAUAGACAGGCAGAAUGCUACAGCGUGAUAGAUAGUUAGGCAGAAUGCUACAGCGUGAUAGACAGGCAGAAUGCUACAGCGUGAUAGAUAGAAUGCUACAGCGUGAUAGACAGGCAGAAUGCUACAGCGUGAUAGAUAGGCAGAAUGCUACAGCGUGAUAGAUAGGCAGAAUGCUACAGCGUGAUAGAUAGGCAGAAUGCUACAGCGUGAUAGACAGGCAGAAUGCUACAGCGUGAUAGAUAGAAUGCUACAGCGUGAUAGACAGGCAGAAUGCUACAGCGUGAUAGAUAGGCAGAAUGCUACAGCGUGAUAGAUAGACAGGCAGAAUGCUACAGCGUGAUAGACAGGCAGAAUGCUACAGCGUGAUAGACAGGCAGAAUGCUACAGCGUGGUAGACAGGCAGAAUGCUACAGCGUGAUAGACAGGCAGAAUGCUACAGUGUGGUAGACAGGCAGAAUGCUACAGCGUGGUAGACAGGCAGAAUGCUACAGCGUGGUAGACAGGCAGAAUGCUACAGCGUGAUAGAUAGACAGGCAGAAUGCUACAGCGUGAUAGAUAGACAGGCAGAAUGCUACAGCGUGAUAGAUAGGCAGAAUGCUACAGCAUGGUAGAUAGAAUGCUACAGCGUGAUAGAUAGACAGGCAGAAUGCUACAGCGUGAUAGACAGGCAGAAUGGUACAGCGUGAUAGACAGGCAGAAUGCUACAGUGUGGUAGACAGGCAGAAUGCUACAGCGUGAUAGAUAGACAGGCAGAAUGCUACAGCGUGAUAGAUAGGCAGAAUGCUACAGCAUGGUAGAUAGAAUGCUACAGCGUGAUAGAUAGACAGGCAGAAUGCUACAGCGUGGUAGAUAGGCAGAAUGCUACAGCGUGAUAGACAGGCAGAAUGCUACAGCGUGAUAGAUAGGCAGAAUGCUACAGCGUGAUAGAUAGACAAGCAGAAUGCUACAGCGUGGUAGACAGGCAGAAUGCUACAGCGUGAUAGACAGGCAGAAUGCUACAGCGUGAUAGAUAGGCAGAAUGCUACAGCGUGAUAGACAGGCAGAAUGCUACAGCGUGAUAGAUAGAUAGGCAGAAUGCUACAGCGUGAUAGAUAGGCAGAAUGCUACAGCGUGAUAGAUAGAUAGGCAGAAUGCUACAGCGUGAUAGAUAGAUAGGCAGAAUGCAGAUGAGGAGUUUCGGCAAUGGUUCGGGUUCCAUUUUAAAGACGUGAAGGAAUCCCUGAAAGGGUGUAAAUUUAGAGGAUAUCGUUCUAGUGCAGUACUUGGAUGAUUUGUUUUUAGCCUCAAAAGACCAUGAUACUUACAUACGUGGCCUCACCACACCGGUUAACUAACUAUUUGGCAAAGCAGGACCAUGAAGCGUCGUAUGAAAAAAGGCCAAUUGGCAAACAGGAGGAAAUGUAUUAGGUGGUCUUGAUUUCUAAAGGCAUGACAAACAUUACUAGCACCACACAUCAACACCAUUCGUGCUCUGGCAUGACCAAACACUCCUCGAACGCUCAGACAAACCCUGGGGGGGGUUUAAUUUAAUGAGAAACCUUAAUCUGUCUUAUUCUGAAAUAGCUGAACCUCUUACAGAAUUGACGAAAAGGGAGGAGGGUUCCCCUUGAGAGAAAAGAGCGGAGUCAAGAUUGUGAGGAAGCGUUUUUGAAGAGUUAAGGAAACCGUUGUGUCAAGCGCAUGAACUGGAGUUUCCUUUUAAAAUGUUUGUGAAUGAACAACUGUUCAUUCACCUGUUCCUUCAGUUAAUCAUUUAUUAAUGUGAUGCAUUUCUUCAUCUAUUUGUUGAUGAAUUCCUUUCUGUGUUCUUCAGCUUCAUGUUAUCCUCCUCCAUACGGUGAUACCUUGGAGAAUACUGCCUCCUGGUGCUACAACAGGAGAAGUGUUGAAUGAUAAAAGCAGAGGCUUGGAACUGACAUGAAUACUGUACAAUGAUGUAUAAUGACCCUACAUGACUGACAGGGGGAGCUGUUUUGAUGCCAUGACCCUACAUGACUGACAGGGGGAGCUGUUUUGAUGCCAUGACCCUACAUGACUGACAGGGGGAGCUGUUUUGAUGCCAUGAACCUACAUUUAAAAAAUAUAUAUAUAUAUAUUUCACCUUUAUUUAACCAGGUAGGCAAGUUGAGAACAAGUUCUCAUUUACAAUUGCGACCUGGCCAAGAUAAAGCAAAGCAGUUUGACACAAACAACAACACAGAGUUACACAUGGAGUAAAACAAACAUACAGUCAAUAAUAUAUUAGAAAAAUAAGUCUAUAUACAAAGUGAGCAAAUGAGGUGAGGUAAGGGAGGUAAAGGAAAAAAAAGCCAUGGUGGCGAAGUAAAUACAAUAUAGCAACUAAAAAACACUGGAAUGGUAGAUUUGCAGUGGAAGAAAGUGCAAAGUAGAAAUAGAAAUAAUGGGGUGCAAAGGCAAAAUAAAUAAAUACAGUAGGGGAAGUGGUAGUUGUUUGGGCUAAAUUAUAGAUGGGCUAUGUACAGGUGCAGUAAUCUGUGAGCUGCUCUGACAGCUGGUGCUUAAAGCUAGUGAGGGAGAUAAGUAUUUCCAGUUUUAGAGAUUUUUGUAGUUCGUUCCAGUCAUUGGCAGCAGAGAACUGGAAGGAGAGGCGGCCGAAGGAGGAAUUGGCUUUGGGGGUGACCAGAGAGAUAUACCUGCUGGAGCGCGUGCUACGAGUGGGUGCUGCUAUGGUGACCAGUGAGCUGAGAUAAGGCGGAGCUUUACCUAGCAAAGACUUGUAGACGACCUGGAGCCAGUGGGAUUGGCGACGAGUAUGAAGCGAGGGCCAGCCAACGAGAGGGUACAGGUCGCAGUGGUGGGUAGUAUAUGGGGCUUUGGUGACAAAACGGAUGGCACUGUGAUAGACUGCAUCCAAUUUAUUGAGUAGGGUAUUGGAGGCUAUUUUGUAAAUGACAUCGCCGAAGUCGAGGAUCGGUAGGAUGGUCAGUUUUACGAGGGUAUGUUUGGCAGCAUGAGUGAAAGAUGCUUUGUUGCGAAAUAGGAAGCCAAUUCUAGAUUUAACUCUGGAUUGGAGAUGUUUGAUGUGAGUCUGGAAGGAGAGUUUAGUCUAACCAGACACCUAGGUAUUUGUAGUUGUCCACAUAUUCUAAGUCAGAACCGUCCAGAGUAGUGAUGCUGGACGGGCGGGUAGGUGCAGGCAGCGAUCGGUUGAAGAGCAUGCAUUUAGUUUUACUUGUAUUUAAGAGCAGUUGGAGGCCACGGAAGGAGAGUUGUAUGGCAUUGAAGCUCGUCUGGAGGGUAGUUAACACAGUGUCCAAAGAAGGGCCAGAAGUAUACAGAAUGGUGUCGUCUGCAUAGAGGUGGAUCAGAGACUCACCAGCAGCAAGAGCGACAUCAUUGAUGUAUACAGAGAAAAGAGUCGGCCCAAGAAUUGAACCCUGUGGCACUCCCAUAGAGACUGCCAGUGGCCCGGACAACUGGCCCUCCGAUUUGACACACUGAACUUUAUCAGAGAAGUAGUUGGUGAACCAGACGAGGCAGUCAUUAGAGAAACCAAGGCUGCUGAGUCUGCCGAUGAGGAUGUGGUGAUUGACAGAGUCGAAAGCCUUCGCCAGGUCAAUGAAUACGGCUGCACAGUACUGUUUCUUAGGACCUUGAGCGUGGCUGAGGUGCACCCAUGACCAGCUCUGAAACCAGAUUGCAUAGC
RNAcentral lists this long non-coding RNA (4438 nucleotides) under Salmo salar (Atlantic salmon). RNAcentral describes it as "lncRNA (ENSSSAG00000099121.1)". Lineage: Eukaryota; Metazoa; Chordata; Actinopteri; Salmoniformes; Salmonidae. The record is from RNAcentral.